This 929-nucleotide ribosomal RNA is filed under the name Enterococcus sp. RNAcentral's name for it is "bacterial SSU rRNA". It matches the Rfam family "Bacterial small subunit ribosomal RNA", at positions 58 to 957 of the family's 1533-position model. The record is from RNAcentral. Lineage: Bacteria; Bacillati; Bacillota; Bacilli; Lactobacillales; Enterococcaceae.
CAAGUCGUACGCUUCUUUUUCCACCGGAGCUUGCUCCACCGGAAAAAGAAGAGUGGCGAACGGGUGAGUAACACGUGGGUAACCUGCCCAUCAGAAGGGGAUAACACUUGGAAACAGGUGCUAAUACCGUAUAACAAUCGAAACCGCAUGGUUUUGAUUUGAAAGGCGCUUUCGGGUGUCGCUGAUGGAUGGACCCGCGGUGCAUUAGCUAGUUGGUGAGGUAACGGCUCACCAAGGCCACGAUGCAUAGCCGACCUGAGAGGGUGAUCGGCCACAUUGGGACUGAGACACGGCCCAAACUCCUACGGGAGGCAGCAGUAGGGAAUCUUCGGCAAUGGACGAAAGUCUGACCGAGCAACGCCGCGUGAGUGAAGAAGGUUUUCGGAUCGUAAAACUCUGUUGUUAGAGAAGAACAAGGAUGAGAGUAACUGUUCAUCCCUUGACGGUAUCUAACCAGAAAGCCACGGCUAACUACGUGCCAGCAGCCGCGGUAAUACGUAGGUGGCAAGCGUUGUCCGGAUUUAUUGGGCGUAAAGCGAGCGCAGGCGGUUUCUUAAGUCUGAUGUGAAAGCCCCCGGCUCAACCGGGGAGGGUCAUUGGAAACUGGGAGACUUGAGUGCAGAAGAGGAGAGUGGAAUUCCAUGUGUAGCGGUGAAAUGCGUAGAUAUAUGGAGGAACACCAGUGGCGAAGGCGGCUCUCUGGUCUGUAACUGACGCUGAGGCUCGAAAGCGUGGGGAGCAAACAGGAUUAGAUACCCUGGUAGUCCACGCCGUAAACGAUGAGUGCUAAGUGUUGGAGGGUUUCCGCCCUUCAGUGCUGCAGCUAACGCAUUAAGCACUCCGCCUGGGGAGUACGACCGCAAGGUUGAAACUCAAAGGAAUUGACGGGGGCCCGCACAAGCGGUGGAGCAUGUGGUUUAAUUCGAAGC